This 606-nucleotide long non-coding RNA is filed under the name Nicotiana benthamiana. RNAcentral's name for it is "long non-coding RNA (NBEN_LNC030786)". The record is from RNAcentral. Lineage: Eukaryota; Viridiplantae; Streptophyta; Magnoliopsida; Solanales; Solanaceae.
AGACUGAACCUCCCGCAACUCAUCCACCUUCAAUUUCCCCUUUACUUUGACUGUAGGCUCAUCAAUAUCCAUAGCACAGGCGUUUCCCAUGCAAUCUUCUCGCAUAUUCUGUGUAGGAAAUGUUGCUACUAUUUCAAGAAGAUGAUCAAUAACCUGAGAAAUAUUUGCAGGGAUCUUUUUGAGGCCUUUCGUACACUUCCCUGAUCCAUCCUGGGCCUUAUGUUCAGAAAUCCGUUGACACUCAUUAGAAGCUCCAAAAUCAACAGAUGUUUUACCUUUCUCUCUCUCCUUGUCUUUCUCUUUUGAUAAGACUAUGAUAGAUCUCCCUCCAGAUGAUUCCAACUGGCAAACUGCAGCUGCAGCUUUCACAAAUACUCCAGGGUCUCGACAUAUUACAGGUGCCAUUGAUGUUAAAAAUGUUUUAACAGAAGUACGGCCAGCAUGACAACUUCCACAAAUCCAUCAGGUGCCAUUGAUGUUAAAAAUGUUUUAACAGAAGUACGACCAGCAUGACGGCUUCCACUAAGAGUCUGCCGUAUCUCCAUCUCCAUGGCUGUUUGCAGGGUCUGAGGAUCUUCAAGAAGAUGUCUAACAAUGGCAGAUGCC